This 733-nucleotide long non-coding RNA is filed under the name Lotus japonicus. Its description in RNAcentral is "long non-coding RNA (LJAP_LNC000450)". The record is from RNAcentral. Lineage: Eukaryota; Viridiplantae; Streptophyta; Magnoliopsida; Fabales; Fabaceae.
ACACACGCACCCAGUUUCAAGGUGUCAAUAGGGCAUGUCGGCUGCGCCGGUGGAGGAGACGGCACCACCGGAGGUGGUGGUGGACACGGGGUUUCCGUAGGAGGGCUUGGUGGUGUAACCACGGGAGGUGUUGGUGUAGGUGGUGUAACAAUCGGUGGGGUUGGUGUAGGUGGUGUAACAAUAGGUGGUGAUGGUACAACUGGGGGUAGUGGAACAUAAGGUGGAGGGUAAACAAUUGGUGGUUUCACAAUAGGAGGUGUUGGAACAUAAGGUGGAGGGUAAACAAUUGGUGGUUUCACAAUAGGAGGUUUUGGAACAUAAGGUGGAGGGUAAACAAUGGGUGGUUUUGGCACAUAAGGUGGUGUCACCGGUACAACCGGUGGCUUAGGCACAUAUGGCGGUGUAACUGGUACAACAGGUGGUUUUGGCACAUAAGGUGGAGAAACAACUGGUGGCUUAGGAACAUAAGGUGGUGGUUUCACAACUGGUGGUUUAGGCACAUAAGGAGGUUUCACAAUUGGUGGUUUGGGAACAUGGGGUGGUUUUGGCACAUAAGGUGGUUUCACAAUUGGUGGUUUUGGAACAUGGGGUGGUUUCACAACUGGUGGUUUUGGCACAUGAGGUGGUUUAACCACUGGAGGCUUGGGAUAGUGAGGUGGUUUUGGUGAUGGCUUGGGGGGUGGACAUGGUUCCGGGCCAUGAGAUGGAGGGUACUUUGGGGGGUUAUGAACUG